This 193-nucleotide ribosomal RNA is filed under the name uncultured bacterium. RNAcentral's name for it is "partial 16S ribosomal RNA". It matches the Rfam family "Bacterial small subunit ribosomal RNA", at positions 1308 to 1500 of the family's 1533-position model. The record is from RNAcentral.
CAACUCGGCUGCAUGAAGCUGGAAUCGCUAGUAAUCGCAGAUCAGAAUGCUGCGGUGAAUACGUUCCCGGGUCUUGUACACACCGCCCGUCACACCAUGGGAGUUGGAAAUGCCCGAAGUCAGUGACCGAACCGAAAGGAAGGAGCUGCCGAAGGUGGAGCCGAUGACUGGGGUGAAGUCGUAACAAGGUAGC